RNAcentral lists this transfer RNA (70 nucleotides) under pig gut metagenome. It matches the Rfam family "tRNA". From Rfam's summary of the family: Transfer RNA (tRNA) molecules are approximately 80 nucleotides in length. Their secondary structure includes four short double-helical elements and three loops (D, anti-codon, and T loops). The record is from RNAcentral.
UGAUGUGGCUCAAUUGGCAGAGCACCUGAUUUGUAAUCAGGGGGUUGGGGGUUCGACUCCCUCCAUCAGC